Non-coding RNA from Vicugna pacos (alpaca), 4134 nucleotides. NCBI's taxonomy places the organism in Eukaryota, Metazoa, Chordata, Mammalia, Artiodactyla, Camelidae. The record is from RefSeq and is a predicted model, not a curated record.
AGUAGCUGGGGGGGUUGGGGAUAAAAGCCCUGGGCGCUUGGAGUGGCGGGUUUAUGACGGCCGGGCGGCUGCAGCUGGGGACGCUCCUGGGGAAGUUGCCUGCUGCGCCCACAGCAGAGCGGGUCCCAAGGUGAGCACAGGAGCCCUGUGUCUGGGGGCCCGGCCAGGGCUCGGCUGGGGCCUGGGGGGCCUGCGUCUGGGGCAAGGGCUGGUCCCAGGCCCCGCCCAAGUCCUGGUUUCACCCAGGCUGGGGUGUCCUCGGUGACCACACGGGACCCAGUUUCGUUUGAAUGUGGGGCCAGGCAGGGGGCAGCUCCUAAUACUGAGUGACAGCAUGAGGAAAUCUGCGCCAGACGCCACCCUGACUGCCCCCUCAGUGUCCUGGAAAAUGCCAGGCACCCAGCAGGGGCCAGAGGAGAUGGGAGGCUGACCGAGGUCUGCCCUUCGGGGACACUCAGGGCCAAGGGUCUACCUAUCUGUCUGUUUCCUCACUUUGCACUUUUCCUCAGUGUCCGGUGGGGAAGGGCCAUCGUCUGCCCACCUGCAGGGUGAGGCCUGGGGAUGCAGUGUCCAGGCGCUCUGAGCCCACGGCCUGCGCUGUCCACAGGCUGGGGGGCCCAGAGCCGGCCCCACGCCCCAGGCCUUUCCAAGGAGGACGCCUGCACCUGCCCGACUGUGCUGAGGGCAGCGCUGGGUCCACUGGGCAUCACGGAGGUUGGGGCCCAGACUCCUGCCCCGCGGUCAAGGCUUGCAUCUUCUCUGCUUUUCUGAAUACGACAGCUGGCGCCUGGUGCUCAGAGCCCCCCUGCUCAUCGCCCCUGCCCCCUCACUCUUCCCUCUGCAGUCUGCAAAACCCCAUCUAUUCUCUGGGCCUCCUGUUUCUCUUUCUCUUUCCUCUCCUAGUUUUAUUAACAUUAGCCUGACGUACAACCUCAUAUGAGGUUAAGGUGUACCACGCGGUGCACGUGAGGACCAGGUACCGCCUCUCGCUCCGCGUUUGCCCCCUGCCCCUCAGAAGCCCGCGUCCCUGGCCCCAGGCGCGCACCCCACUACUCCCCACCCCCAGCCCCGGCCUUCUGCCUCCAGGGAGAAAGACCACAGCGGGCUGUGCACAGAUCUCAGCAUGGACAUCGAAGCAGUUCUUUCCUUCUCACUCAGCAGGUGCUCCUGACGGAGGAGGGAAAGGAGGCUCUUCCAUGUGGUCAGCUCAACGUGGAGCCUCAGGGCUGGGUGUCCUGGUCCAGCUCUGGGAACUGAAGCCGCAGACGUCAGGGUGGCUGCUCUGGGCCAGGCAGUUACGGGAGACACAGAGUCUGGAGGGAGUCAGGGUGCCGUUGGGAGCAGCAAGUAGAGCCGUGUGGCGCUAGGAGUCUCGACACGGACCCAGACGUGUGCUGGGCCGGCGAGUGUCCGCUGGUCCUGGGUUUGCUGCGCUCCUGCAGGUGUCGGCCCCUGCCGGAACCGGGGACGCUGCUCUCUCUGAAGAGGGCAAACUCACCCAUCCCCACUGGGCCGACUUCAUUCUCACCCACACGCUUCUGUCUGUUACAGCUGGCUUGUCUAUGCACUUACACGCCACCUGUGUUCAAGUGGGAUUCGAGGCAGUCGGUGGGUGGUGGAGCAGCACCAGAAACCAGAGCAGGGGAGUGGCUCCGAGCUGCGUGUUGGCGGCUCCCCUCCCUGCCCUGUCCCCACGCGCAGCCUUGCUCAGGUGUGCUCAGCUUUCCCGCAUCAGGAGUGCUCUGCCUCCUUCUGGGCUGAGGACUGCUGGCCCUGCUCCAAGGUCCAGCAUGGUCACCCUCCCCCACCACAUCCAGCGUCCACAGUUGGGGCCGAUGCCUCCCCUGCGCCCUCAGAGCGCCCAUGAGCCCCUCCAGAGGGAGGCCCCGACCUCAUCCCCGAGUCCCCAGGGGCUGGGGCAGCGCCCCCACCAAGUGUUCGCUGCUAACAAUUACAUUGCACUUAAUUAUGUGCCGGGACCGUGUUCUCUCAUUUAAGUCUCACAUUUACCCUGCGACUCGUGCUGUUAUUAUGCCCAUUUUACAGAUGAAGAAGCUGAGGUCCUGGAUCCUGCCCCAAGGCCCCUGGAGAGUGGGAGGCAUUUUCUGUGUGUGGCCUUUUCUUGAAAUCAUCUUUCUCCAUAACCAGAUUGUGAGCCCUGGAAGGAACAGGGAGGUCUUCCCAGCUCCCACAGUGCUUUCCCUGCAGGGGGACCUUGGGGACGAUUUCUGGCAGUGGCAGAUGGAGCUCUGCAACGCCCUCAUCAGUGGUUGGUUUGAUCACACGGUGGGACCCGCAGCCACGGGACCCACAGCCAUGGGACUCUCGCUCCCACUUCCACAGCCAGGGAAGCAGCUGCACAGACUUGGGGGCUGCUCAGCCGCAGGGCAAGGGCAGGUGCAGAGCGGACUCCUACACCCGAGUCAUUUCCCUGUUCAUUAAAGAGAGCCACCUCGGUUCUGCAAACAAGGGGAGACCAAGGCCCGGAGCGGGAGAUUUUCCCCAGGACGGUGCUUGGGGUCAUCAGAGCUGCUGUCCUGGAAGGAAGGCUUGGGGACAUCCUUCCUCCUGACUCUGCCGUGAGCACGGCCUUGGUUCGGACUCCCCGGGGCAGCCAAGACUCCCAGCCCAUAGUGGCCACUCUCAACCAGGGGCACGGUGCCCUCCUCACCUCGGGGACACGGGCCAGCUCUAGAGACAUCCUGAUUGUCAUCCUGGGGCCCACACCAAGGAAUCACCUGGCCUCAAGCGUCAGAAGUGCUGAGGCUGAGAACCUGCCCAACUCAGAUGGGGAGGGAAGACCCGAACUAUCCCCCCACGCCCCUGGGCCUCGUCGAGAGGGGCGUUCGGGCCUCAGGCCCGGCCUCGGCACCUUUACUCCGCCGCCUGCACCGUCCACUUCCCAUCUGAUGUUUCCCUCUGGCCUCCCACAGAAUUCAAAACCCGAAAUGAUUUUAUUGAGCACCAGAGGGGCCACAGUGGAAUGCUGAUGUUUCAUGUCCUACCUUACUUUAACGCUGCCUCCUCACUUAACCUCACCUGGAAGAUAAAGAGGGGUUACAUUUUACCAGUGAGGCCACCGAGGCUCAGAGAGGUUGUGUAACAGGUCCAAGGUCACACAGCCAUGCCGGGCUCCAGCCCAGCUCUCCUGCUGCUCCCACGAAACAGCACGGAGCUGUGCAGACGAAUAUGACACAGUCGGCAAGUGGAAGGCAGUUUGUUUUCCUCAAAAAAGACCAUCCCCUGCGUUGUGACCAGGAGAGCAGGCCAAGCUCCGAGGAAACGCACAAGCCUGCAGGCAAAGACAGGCUGGUGUAUCCUCCUAGUCGCAGGGCCUUCAGCUUCUCAGAACACGGGCCGGGCCGACUGGAGAAAUGCCAGGCAGUCCAGGCCGAUCCCUGGGCGGCGAUGCCCGAAGGCCCAGCCCUGCAGUUCCUGCCCCAGACUUUCUCCAUGAGGAAAUCCAGCACCUGCCCCCGAUGCUCCGGAGCUGGCUGGGGUCCAGCCACCACUCUCUGUGCUGCUGGCGGCGUCAGCCCAGAUGACACUCUGCCCCCGCGGUGCCAGCGUGGGGUUUUCUGGUCAGUGCAGGCAGCCAGCCUUCUGGGGUUGACUUUGUUGUUUGCUUGUGUCCAUUGGUUUUUUUCUUUCUUAGGGUGAUUAGGUUCAUGUAUUUAUUUAUUUUAGAGGAGGUGCUGGGGCUUGAACCCAUGACCUCGGGCAUGCUAAUCAUGCACUCUGCCACUUGAGCUGUACCCUCGCCCCUGAUUUUUUCUUUAAUCGAGCACCUAUUGUGUGCGAGGCCCCGUGGCAGUGAUGGGGACUUGGGCGGCACAGGAGCCAGCAUGACCGUCCUCCUCAGGGAGCUUACCGCCUCCGAAUGUGUCCGUCAAGGCUGCGCUUCUGGCCACUUCUUUUCCCAUAAGAGCUGAGCGAUAAUUUGGUCUCAUUCCAUAAAGUAGUUCACUGGUAUUUUAUGAAGUUUGUGCUAAAUCUGUUAGUUGUCCUGGGAAACAUCACCCUCAGGGUUUUUUUCUUUUAACUUUAAAAUUCCUAGAAAAUCAUACUGACUUGCUGUUUUUUUAUUAUUUUAAUUUUUAAAAAUUUUUGUCCCAUUUUUUUUAGUUGAGGUAU